GGGAGGUAGUGACAAUAAAUAACAAUACAGGGCCUUUACAGGUCUUGUAAUUGGAAUGAGUACAAUUUAAAUCUCUUAACGAGGAACAAUUGGAGGGCAAGUCUGGUGCCAGCAGCCGCGGUAAUUCCAGCUCCAAUAGCGUAUAUUAAAGUUGUUGCAGUUAAAAAGCUCGUAGUUGAAUUUUGGGUUUGGCCGAUUGGUCCGUUCUUGUAACGAGUACUGGUCGGUUGGGCCUCACCGCCUGGUGAUGCGGAAUGUCCUUUAUUGGGUGUUGCGAGUAGCCAGGACUUUUACCUUGAAAAAAUUAGA
RNAcentral lists this ribosomal RNA (309 nucleotides) under uncultured Archaeosporaceae. RNAcentral describes it as "SSU rRNA". It matches the Rfam family "Eukaryotic small subunit ribosomal RNA", at positions 459 to 770 of the family's 1831-position model. Lineage: Eukaryota; Fungi; Glomeromycota; Glomeromycetes; Archaeosporales; Archaeosporaceae. The record is from RNAcentral.